Molecule: transfer RNA, 102 nt
Filed under: Xylariaceae sp. FL0594
Lineage: Eukaryota; Fungi; Ascomycota; Sordariomycetes; Xylariales; Xylariaceae
Description: tRNA-Met
Rfam family: tRNA
About the family: Transfer RNA (tRNA) molecules are approximately 80 nucleotides in length. Their secondary structure includes four short double-helical elements and three loops (D, anti-codon, and T loops).
Source: RNAcentral
GUCUUCGUGGCUCAGUUGGUCAGAGCGUUGGUCUCAUAGAAGUAUGAAGCACUCUAAGAGUGAGAUAUCCAAAGGUCGUGAGUUCGAGCCUCACCGAGGACA